GGUUUACAGAUGAGGAAUCUGAGGCUGAGAGAGAAUAACCACUUGUCCAGGGUCAUAGAACUGGAACACACCGUUCACGGAUCUGUUGGCCACACUUUGAGUAGCACAUGCAAAGCACCUUGGAUUUUUCUUGAAGUGCAUUGGAAAGCACACAUGGGGAGGUGGGAAAGAGAAGACUCCAAGAUCACUUGUAGGGUUGUGGUGAUGCUGCUCUUUGUGGAGAUGGAGAAGACCAAAGGAGAACUCAUUUGGGAGGAGAGAGCAAAAGUUCUCAACUUGGGUGAGAAAUAUCUAAUCCUUCAAGUAGAGAGGGCCAGUAGGAAGUCAGAUAAUAUGAGUUUGGGGCUCACAACUGAGGUCAAAGUCAGAGUUGUAAUUUUGGAAAGUCAUGAUAGCCUGCAUUUAAGGCCUCAGACUAGCUGAGUUAUCUAGCAAGUGUGGAAAUGAAAGAAAAGAGAUCCUAGGACUUAGGCCUGGGGCAUUCUGACCUAAGAAUUAUUGACUCCAUCAGUUUUAACAUCCAAGAAAUUUUAUCUUAACAUUUAUGGAGCCCCAAGGCUUCACAAAAACCUGGAAUAACAUUCCCAAGUGUCACAAUGCUGGCAUGAAGUGGCAGUCAAUAAAUAUACAUGGAAUGAAUGAAUGAGCUCCAAAAUAAAGGUUUCAAAAACCCCUGAGAUUUUGCGAUUUUAGAACCCCAAGUUUCUUCCCACCCAUGAUGUGUUAGGUUGAAUGGUGACUUCCCCAAAAGAUAUGUCCAUGUCCCAGAACCUGUAAAUAUGACUUUAUUUGGAAAAAAGAGUCUUCUUUGCAGAUGUAAUUGAGUGAAGAAUCUUGAGAUGAGAUCAUCCUGGAUUAUCUGAGUGGGCUCUACAUCCAAUAAGUGUCCUUAUAAGAAGCAGACGUGGAGGAAAAACACAGACAGAUGGGGAGAAGGCCUUGGGGCUGUGGCAGACAUUGGAGCUGCAGUUUCAAGCCAAGGAUUGACAGCAGCUGCCAGAAGCUUGAAGAGGCAAUGAGAAUUCUAGCUUAGAGUCUCCAGGGAGAGUGCAACCGCCUGGCUGACACAUGCCAAUCCUUCCAACGCCUUCAUUUUAGACUUCUGGGCUUCAGAACAGUGAGAAAAUAGAUUUCUGUUGUUUUCAGUCAUCCCGUUUGUGGUCAUUUGUUACAGAAGCCUCAGGAAACUGUUACACAUGGUCUCUUUUAGCUGAUGCUGAUGCAAUAUUUCCUUUGGAGCUCUGCUGUAUUCUGAUUCAGUGAUUCUCAACUCUGGCUGCACAUUAGAGUUGCCUAGAUAUUUUCUGACAAAGGUUGGUUGGUAUCUGGAACAUCCUCAGAGAUUCUGAUUCAGUAGGGCUGUGGUACAGGCUGAUACUGGUGUAGAGCCAGACAUAAGAACUGCCAUUUAAUUAGUCACAACAACUUAACAUCAAGGGGUGGCACAGAGGUACAGGGGGUGGGAAUACCUGUGUAAUUGUUUUCACCUUAGGAAUUUGCUUUGAAACAUAACAAUAUGUGUCUUUACAUUCAAGUAUAUUCUUAGAAACUAGCUGAAGCCGUUUCGCAUCCUUGUGGCACUAAGUCCUGUUUCCACCGUGAAACAGGUACCAAGACAGUCCUGUUUCCACUGUGAAAAAAUAAACGGAUGUUCUGACAGGUGGCCACCGUUGCUGACCUGACCAUUCCCCAGAAGCACCAGGAGGCAUUGCUUUCUAGACUGAAGCUCGGUCGUGCUUCGCUUUAGUCUAAUCAAAAAGAUUUGCUUGCAAGCCUUCAUUCCAUAUGGUUCCAGUGCCUUCCAUACCAUCAGAUAAUGACAAUUGUGAGUUUCUGGUGGCAUGCUACUUCAUGUAAUUAAAAAUUGCUGCAUAGAUGUGCUGAAUAGGAGAAGAGUAAGUUAUUAUUUGGAGGGAAGAGGAUUCCCAGUUGUGGAACAAAGCAAUUCCUUGUACCCUGGUUCUAAAUAAAUGUUUCUUUAUUUUGGAA
Pongo pygmaeus (Bornean orangutan) is the source of this 1989-nucleotide long non-coding RNA. RefSeq lists it as uncharacterized. Lineage: Eukaryota; Metazoa; Chordata; Mammalia; Primates; Hominidae. The transcript has 2 exons. The record is from RefSeq and is a predicted model, not a curated record.